AUGUUUUUAGUCGUUCUAGAGCACAUUCUAGUUCUUACGUCUUUCUUUUAUUAUCUACCUUGUAGGAUCUACUAAACAACAUUCGCAACGUUGGAGGUGAUCGAAUGCAUACCCGACCUUUACAAUGACUCGUGGUGGUAUACCAAUCUAUCGAGCUAGUGCUGCUAUCCUCCCAGUCAAGUCUGGCACCAAUUUGCGACCCACAGAGGGGUGGGUGGAAAGCUUAAUAGGCCAUGGGUGCGGGGACCAAUCCCACAUGCGUGUUGCAGGGCGCUUCCUACCACUGCGCCACACGUCCAAAUAAAUCAGAUAGAGACUAGAAAUAAAAAGACCAUACCUAUGGAACGAUCAUUUCAAUGAGUUGAUCAUAAAUAAAAACAAAAUAAAUAAAUAGAUAAAUUAGAGUGCUCAGAACAAAAGUCUGCUUGAAUGGUCGAUCAUGGAAUAAUAAAAGAGGACUUCGGUUCUCUAUUGGUUCAGGAACUGAAGUAAUGAGCGGGACAAUGCCGGAGCAUUCGUAACCCUGCACGAGAGGUUAAAUUCGUGGAAUGCAGGAGACGCCUUAAAGCGAAAGCAUUUGCCAUGAAUGUCUUCAUUAAUCAAGAACGAAAGUCAGAGGUUCGAAGGCGAUUAGAUACCGCCCUAGUUGUGACCGUAAGCCAUUUAGUAAU
This 671-nucleotide non-coding RNA is filed under the name Angiostrongylus costaricensis. RNAcentral describes it as "Eukaryotic small subunit ribosomal RNA". It matches the Rfam family "Eukaryotic small subunit ribosomal RNA", at positions 624 to 1048 of the family's 1831-position model. Lineage: Eukaryota; Metazoa; Nematoda; Chromadorea; Rhabditida; Metastrongylidae. The record is from Rfam by way of RNAcentral.